This 263-nucleotide long non-coding RNA is filed under the name Malus domestica (apple). Its description in RNAcentral is "long non-coding RNA (MDOM_LNC006171)". Lineage: Eukaryota; Viridiplantae; Streptophyta; Magnoliopsida; Rosales; Rosaceae. The record is from RNAcentral.
AGGGAGAAUUGAAAUGUGGUUUCAAUUCACAAUCGAUCGUUAAGAGUAACAAUCGCCCACUACCUCACUAAAUGGAACCUAAUGGAUCGUACACCGAGUAAGGAUGUUGGUGAAGAAAUUAAAUGAAAUGGAUAAGCAAUUAAAUGGUUUAAUUGAAGAAUGGUCAAGGUUAAUUAAUUAGUUAAUUAAUUAUACAAAAUGUUCGUAUUGGGCUUAUAUGUUGGUUUUGGGUUUCGGGGCCCAAAAGCGUUUUGGUCCACAAG